This 421-nucleotide ribosomal RNA is filed under the name Acidobacteriota bacterium. Its description in RNAcentral is "Acidobacteria bacterium partial 16S ribosomal RNA". It matches the Rfam family "Bacterial small subunit ribosomal RNA", at positions 355 to 776 of the family's 1533-position model. Lineage: Bacteria; Pseudomonadati; Acidobacteriota. The record is from RNAcentral.
UGGGGAAUAUUGCACAAUGGGCGAAAGCCUGAUGCAGCGACGCCGCGUGAGGGAUGGAGGCCUUCGGGUUGUAAACCUCUUUCGCUCAUGGUCAAGCCGCAACAUUGGUUGUGGUGAGGGUAGUGGGUAAAGAAGCGCCGGCUAACUACGUGCCAGCAGCCGCGGUAAUACGUAGGGCGCGAGCGUUGUCCGGAAUUAUUGGGCGUAAAGGGCUUGUAGGCGGUUGGUCGCGUCUGCCGUGGAAUCCUCUGGCUUAACUGGGGGCGUGCGGUGGGUACGGGCUGACUUGAGUGCGGUAGGGGAGACUGGAACUCCUGGUGUAGCGGUGGAAUGCGCAGAUAUCAGGAAGAACACCGGUGGCGAAGGCGGGUCUCUGGGCCGUUACUGACGCUGAGGAGCGAAAGCGUGGGGAGCAAACAGG